Molecule: ribosomal RNA, 460 nt
Filed under: uncultured marine microorganism
Description: bacterial SSU rRNA
Rfam family: Bacterial small subunit ribosomal RNA
Source: RNAcentral
UGGGGAAUUUUCCGCAAUGGGCGAAAGCCUGACGGAGCAAUACCGCGUGAGGGAGGAAUGCCUUUGGGUUGUAAACCUCUUUUCUCAGGGAAGAAGAUCUGACGGUACCUGAGGAAUAAGUAUCGGCUAACUCCGUGCCAGCAGCCGCGGUAAUACGGAGGAUGCAAGCGUUAUCCGGAAUCAUUGGGCGUAAAGCGUCCGCAGGUGGUUUCCAAAGUCUGCUGUUAAAGACUGGAGCUCAACUCCGGAACGGCGGUGGAAACUUGGAAACUAGAGUUCGGUAGGGGUAGCAGGAAUUCCCAGUGUAGCGGUGAAAUGCGUAGAUAUUGGGAAGAACAACGGUGGCGAAGGCGUGCUACUGGACCGUAACUGACACUCAGGGACGAAAGCUAGGGGAGCGAAAGGGAUUAGAUACCCCUGUAGUCCUAGCUGUAAACGAUGGAAACUAGGUGUGGCUUGA